RNAcentral lists this ribosomal RNA (425 nucleotides) under uncultured bacterium. RNAcentral's name for it is "partial 16S ribosomal RNA". It matches the Rfam family "Bacterial small subunit ribosomal RNA", at positions 359 to 776 of the family's 1533-position model. The record is from RNAcentral.
GAAUUUUGGACCAUGGGCGAAAGCCUUAUCCAGCACUGCCGCGCGCAGGAUGAAGGCCUUCGGGUUGUAAACUGCUUUUGUCCGGAACGAAAAUCUUUGGAUUAAUACCAUCGGUUCAUGACGGUACCGUAAGAACAAGCAACGGCUAACCACGUGCCAGCAACCGCGGUAAUACGUAGGGUGCAAGCGUUAAUCGGAAGUACGGGGCGUAAAGGGUGCGCAGGCGGUGUUGUAAGACAGAGGUGAAAUCCCCGGGCUCAACCUGGGAACUGCCUUUGUGACUGCAAGGCUAGAGUACGGCAGAGGGGGGUGGAAUUCCGCGUGUAGCAGUGAAAUGCGUAGAUAUGCGGAGGAACACCGAUGGCGAAGGCAACCCCCUGGGCCUGUACUGACGCUCAUGCACGAAAGCGUGGGGAGCAAACAGG